Molecule: ribosomal RNA, 251 nt
Filed under: uncultured bacterium
Lineage: Bacteria
Description: partial 16S ribosomal RNA
Rfam family: Bacterial small subunit ribosomal RNA
Source: RNAcentral
UACGUAGGGUCCGAGCGUUGUCCGGAAUUACUGGGCGUAAAGAGCUCGUAGGUGGUUUGUCACGUUGUUCGUGAAAACCCACAGCUCAACUGUGGGCGUGCGAGCGAUACGGGCAGACUAGAGUACUGCAGGGGAGACUGAAUCCUGGUGUAGCGGUGGGAUGCGCAGAUAUCAGGAGGAACACCGGUGGCGAAGGCGGGUCUCUGGGCAGUAACUGACGCUGAGGAGCGAAAGCGUGGGGAGCGAACAGG